Molecule: ribosomal RNA, 253 nt
Filed under: uncultured bacterium
Lineage: Bacteria
Description: partial 16S ribosomal RNA
Rfam family: Bacterial small subunit ribosomal RNA
Source: RNAcentral
UACGAAGGGGGCUAGCGUUGCUCGGAUUGACUAGGCGUAAAGGGCGCGUAGGCGGUUCGUACAGUCAGACGUGAAAUUCCUGGGCUCAACCUGGGGGCUGCGUUUGAUACGUGCGGACUUGAGUGCGGAAGAGGGUCGUGGAAUUCCCAGUGUAGAGGUGAAAUUCGUAGAUAUCAGGAGGAACACCAAUGGCGAAGGCAGCACUCUGGGACGGUACUGACGCUGAGACGCGAAAGCGUGGGGAGCAAACAGG